Molecule: ribosomal RNA, 492 nt
Filed under: uncultured organism
Description: bacterial SSU rRNA
Rfam family: Bacterial small subunit ribosomal RNA
Source: RNAcentral
AACGAACGCUGGCGGCGUGCUUAACACAUGCAAGUCAAGGAGAAGGUUCCUUCGGGAAUCAUUAAACUGGCGCACGGGUGAGUAACGCGUGAGGAACCUGCCUCAGAGAUUGGGACAACAACCCGAAAGGGUUGCUAAUACUAAAUAAGCUCACAAUUCGCAUGUUUUGUGAGAAAAGGACGGGGUAACCUGUCGCUUUGAGAUGGACUCGCGUGUCAUUAGCUAGUUGGUGAGGUAACGGCUCACCAAGGCUACGAUGACUAGCCGGCCUGAGAGGGUGGCCGGCCACAUAGGGACUGAGACACGGCCCUAACUCCUACGGGAGGCAGCAGUGGGGAAUUUUGCGCAAUGAUCGAAAGAUUGACGCAGCGACGCCGCGUGGACGAUGAAGGUUUUCGGAUCGUAAAGUCCUUUCAGCAAGGAAGAAUGGAUAUGUAAGUAACUGUGCAUAUAUUGACGGUACUUGCAGAAGCAGCCCCGGCUAACUCCGUG